CAUCAGCAUUGGUUUUACAUCUUGGAGUUGACCCUUAUAGAAUCGAUAGAGUAAUCAGAAAAUUUGGCAUGCCGAUGGGCCCUAAUCAAUUAGCUGAUCUGGUUGGUUAUGGUGUGGUUUCGGCGGCUAAUGUAAUAUAUUCCUCAGCUUUCAAGGGUCGAACUUUUGAAAGUAAUCUUCUGGAAAUGAUGAUACAAGAUGGCCGAAAGGGAAAAGAGAAUGGAAGGGGCUU
Molecule: long non-coding RNA, 232 nt
Organism: Dendrobium catenatum
Lineage: Eukaryota; Viridiplantae; Streptophyta; Magnoliopsida; Asparagales; Orchidaceae
Exons: 3
Source: RefSeq, a predicted model, not a curated record